GGGGGAUAUUGCGCAAUGGGGGCAACCCUGACGCAGCAACGCCGCGUGAAGGAUGAAGGUUUUCGGAUUGUAAACUUCUUUUAUUAAGGACGAAACUUGACGGUACUUAAUGAAUAAGCUCCGGCUAACUACGUGCCAGCAGCCGCGGUAAUACGUAGGGAGCAAGCGUUGUCCGGAUUUACUGGGUGUAAAGGGUGCGUAGGCGGCUUUGCAAGUCAGAUGUGAAAUCUAUGGGCUCAACCCAUAAACUGCAUUUGAAACUGUGGAGCUUGAGUGAAGUAGAGGCAGGCGGAAUUCCCCGUGUAGCGGUGAAAUGCGUAGAGAUGGGGAGGAACACCAGUGGCGAAGGCGGCCUGCUGGGCUUUAACUGACGCUGGGGCACGAAAGCGUGGGUAGCAAAC
RNAcentral lists this ribosomal RNA (401 nucleotides) under uncultured bacterium. RNAcentral describes it as "bacterial SSU rRNA". It matches the Rfam family "Bacterial small subunit ribosomal RNA", at positions 356 to 773 of the family's 1533-position model. The record is from RNAcentral.